GAGUUUGAUCGUGGCUCAGGAUGAACGCUGGCGGCGUGCCUAAUACAUGCAAGUCGAACGAACAGAUAAGGAGCUUGCUCCUUUGACGUUAGCGGCGGACGGGUGAGUAACACGUGGGUAACCUACCUAUAAGACUGGGAAUAACUCCGGGAAACCGGGGCUAAUGCCGGAUAACAUGUUGAACCGCAUGGUUCUACAGUGAAAGACGGUCUUGCUGUCACUUAUAGAUGGACCCGCGCCGUAUUAGCUAGUUGGUGGGUAACGCUACCAAGGCGACGAUACGUAGCCGACCUGAGAGGGUGAUCGGCCACACUGGAACUGAGACACGGUCCAGACUCCUACGGGAGGCAGCAGUAGGGAAUCUUCCGCAAUGGGCGAAAGCCUGACGGAGCAACGCCGCGUGAGUGAUGAAGGUCUUCGGAUCGUAAAGCUCUGUUGUUAGGGAAGAACAAAUGUGUAAGUAACUGUGCAUAUCUUGACGGUACCUAACCAGAAAGCCACGGCUAACUACGUGCCAGCCG
This 521-nucleotide ribosomal RNA is filed under the name uncultured microorganism. Its description in RNAcentral is "bacterial SSU rRNA". It matches the Rfam family "Bacterial small subunit ribosomal RNA", at positions 9 to 514 of the family's 1533-position model. The record is from RNAcentral.